UAAUCUGAGUAAUCUCUAAGUCUUUCGAGCCGAGCGAGUCCAUUUCAAUAUUUCAUAUAUUUCAGAUCAAAUCCCAUUUUGCCCUAGCCCUUACCCCCUAGCAGUUAGCCUGCUCCCAUUCUUCACACUUUUCGUGGAACUCGAUCUGACAUCCUCUCCACUUCUCCAGCCUCUGUCCCUCCGCCUCUCUCCGGCCUCCGCGGCGAACGCGCCUCGGGUGACGCACGAUCUCGAUCUCGGCUCCCAGUCUCCAAGUCUCGAUCUCGGCCUUAUCCGGCUCUCUUUGUAUGUUUGUUUUGUUUUGUUUUGUAAGUUACAUCUGAUUUUGAAUUGAACCCUUUUAGUCUUUUACGGGUUAUUCGAUCUUAUUUUGGUAGUUAGGGUUAUGAUUUCUAAGGUGGGUACUGGGUAAUCUUUUGAUUUGAGUGAUUGAAUCUUCUAAGGUGGGUACGGAGGGAUUGAAUCUUCUUAAAGGUGUAUUGGAUAGCAACUCUUGAGAUAAUAGUAGGUAAAGGAAAUUAAGAAUAGGUUGGGGUGCAGGGGAGGGAGGAAGGAAGGAAAGGGCCUGUACACUGACUGACGGGUUCAUGUUUUUUUUAACCCCCAUGUUGUUGCAGCCCCUCUCCUUUAUCCUUAUUGUUAUGAAAUAAACAAGUUAGUUUUAUUUAAUUUAGUUAGUUAAUUUUAUUUUAUUUUAUUUUUCUCAGAUCAUGUACCUUGUCAUAAAGUUAUGUUGUAUCUUUUCUUUUUUAGUGGUGCGCAGUGUAUAAAAUCCAUUUUGAAGGGUGCUUUGUUGUAUAAGAAAAUCUUUUCACUCAAUAAUUCAUACACAUGUAGAUUUGUUGUUUAUCAGGGCUUGUUUCUGAAACCAUAGUUUGCAGACCAGUGGGCAGUGGCUCAUUAUAUGGAGCUUUGAUUGGGUCUGUCCUGGCUUUUAAUGUUGCCGAUUUUCUAGGUGAGACUAAUUUCAUUCUUGUUCUCAUUUAUUUAUGUAAAUGCAUGUGUUCUAUCAGGUGUUCUUUAGUUGUGUUUUUCUGCAGUCAGUAAUGUGGUGUAGUUGUCAUACUUUUUAAGUUUUAAUGAUAAACCAACUGUGUCUGUGUUAAUGCCAGUUAAAUAGUACAGGAUUUGUGUUGCAUACUUGCAUGUUCAUGUUGUUGUACAUGAUGUGUGAUGUUCAUGGUCAUUUGAUGUACAGGAUUUGUGUUGCAUGUUGAUGUUGCUGUUGUUGACUUGUUGUUGGUUGUCGGCUGUUGUUGUAUGUUGUUGUUCGUUGUUGGUUGUUUGCUGUUGCACACUUGCACAAGCACAAUUGCUGUCUGCUGGUCUGCUGCUAGUUGCUGCUGCGUGCUACUCUGUCUCUGCUAGUAGAUUAAUUUCAUGUUGGCUUGUUGUUGCUUUGUUAAGUCAUAAAUUUGUUAAGGUCAUAAGGACUGGACAGUUAAUUUUUGUUGGUUUGUUGUUGCUGACUUGCUGUAUUUUGGACAGUUAAUUUGGCUUGCUUUGUUAAGUCAUAAAUUUCAUGUUGGCUUGUUGUUGCUACUGGACAAUUAAGUUAACAGUUGGCAGUUACUGGACAGUUGAUUUGUUAAACAGUUAACAUGUAAUUUAUGUUGGAUGAUAUUUCGGUUAUUACCCGAAUACCCGAAAUUACAAUUCCGUAAUUCGAUAUUCGGUUAUUUUCAAAUUUUAGUUAACAUUUCGGAUAGUGAAAUUAUCAAUAAUUCAAUUUUUCGAUUAUAACCGAAUAGCUUAUUCGGUUCGGUUAUAACCGAAUGAUCACUCCUAACUUCCACUCCCCCUAUCUCCAUCACAAGUCCCAACUUAUUGUCCAGUACCACAUCUUGUCCAACCUAAACCACCUCACCCACUUCAUUCACACAAAAAUCUCUGCUCUAACGUAUCCCAAGCUCUGUGACCUUGACGCUAUUUUGCUCCUCCUCCUCUUUUGCGAACUCCGCCAACAGGAUCCCAAAGCACUUGAAACAACACCAAUUAAAUGGCGUCUCACUCUUUGUAAUUAUUAUGUUCAUGAUACCAUAUUAACAUUUUCUGGUAUUAGUGUUUGAAAUAGUGUCGGUACAUAUUUUUUUCAUAGUACAAUUGGUAACCAAACCUUCAUACAAAGGUAUCCAAUUCAGUUUUAUUGGGUUACCAAUUAAUUAUAAAAAAUUUAAGAACAGUUUCCAAGUGUUUCCUGAAUUUGUUUUAUUUAACAUGUGCAACCAUGAAAAAUUUUAUUGGGUUCUGUAAUGGUCGUCGUCAGUACAUUUUUUUUCACAGUUCAGUUGGUAGCCAAACCUUCAUAUAAAGGUAACAAGUUCAGUUUUAUUGGGUUACCAAUUAAUUAUAAAAAAAAUUUAAGAAUAGUUUUCAUGUGUUACUUGAAUUUGUUUUCUUCAACAUGUGCAACCAUAUAUGAACAAUUUUAUUUGGUUCUGCAAUGGUCACCGUCAGUACAUUUUUUUUAUAGUGCAGUUGGUAGCCAAACCUUCAUACAAAGGUAACCAAUUCAUUUUUAUUAGGUUACCAAUUAAUUAUAAAAAAUUUAAGAACAGUUUCCAACAUGUGCAACCAUGAACAAUUUUAUUGGGUUAUGCAUUGCAAUUGGAUAGCGAUAAUUAAUUUCUCACUAAAUCAG
Molecule: long non-coding RNA, 2641 nt
Filed under: Panax ginseng (ginseng)
Lineage: Eukaryota; Viridiplantae; Streptophyta; Magnoliopsida; Apiales; Araliaceae
Description: long non-coding RNA (PGIN_LNC008206)
Source: RNAcentral